UACGACAUGGUUCACCCAAAAAUCCCCACCCUCACGCCAAUCACCACCGACGCUGCCAACGCGCCGCGCCGCCGUCGCCCCAUCAUCCCUCCCACUCCACCUCAACCGUCCCCUCCACCGCGCCGGCCAUGCGCUCUUUGCGCAUCCUCUCCACUCCGACGGCUCAGCGGAGCUCGGCGCCGUUCAUCGCCCACUGCCUACCCCUACCCUACCUGUGCAGUGUGCAGGUCGUGCCCGGAAUCCCCGUGUCGCACCCCCUCCCCCUUCCCACAGGCGAUCAAGGAUCAGCCCGACUUCGAUGGGAUCCCUCGACCUCGGUGCCGCCCAGGAAGAUCAUCGUCACUCGCGGCGCCGCACAAGAAGUUCGUCGGGCUUUCUGCUCCUUCCCUGUCGCAUGGGCCUCCUCGCCGGUGAUAUCCUCCCUUCUCACCCUCAGAUGGAAUUUGCUUCUUCCACCCUUCAUGUGAUUGGUGGUCUGCCGACUGCUUCUGACAACUGAGUUGCUCUAUUGGCUUUCGUGAUUACGACUUACCGUCGUGCUGCGCCCUUCAAUUUGUUGGUCUCGCUCGCCAUGGUGUGCAAGAUAUGGUUCCACCGCUGGCCACGCUGGAGACGAGGUCGUUCCUCUUCCCCAUCGGCCACAGCUGGAGCCGACGUCCUCCCCAUCUGCCGCCGCCGACGGAGCUGAGGUCAUCCCCAGCUGCCGCCGCCGCCGCCAAACUCCAGCGCUGCCACAGGUUACGACCAUACUGAAAAACUGAAAAUGUAUGAAAAUUUUCUCCAGUGGUUGAAUUAUCUCCAGCAAAUGUACUUGAAUGUCUCUGGUUAACCUAACUGCCACAGGUUAGAAUCAAUUGAUUUAUGCAUACCUCUGCACAUUGGCUGAAGAUCAUAUUUAUUUUUGAGCAAAUUCUUGCAUCUGAGAUGAAAAUCAGAAUGCAUAUAUGCAUGCACUUUAUGAAAUUUGUGCAGUUUGUGCAUAAGUCAGCGAGGAUUGAUUUUUCUUUCCCUGCAAGAAGAAGAAAGAGUAAUAGGUAAACGGGAGGCAGGGCAAAAAAAAGAUCAUUCUAUAUGCACAAAAUUUGAAGAAGAUCAUUCUAUAUACACAAAGUUUUACUGCUUAGACGUUAUUAGAAAACAUAACUUGGGAAAAAGGAGUAGGCUUGGCAAUUAUGUAUUUCAAUAGUUAUCAGAAAUUUUAAUCGAGGAUAUAUAUAUAUAUAAAAGAAUGAAUGUUCAUCAAAUCAGAGUUGAUGGCUUGACAGGGUCGAGUUAAGUUUAACACAUCCAUGUAUAGAUCAUUCUGCUUGCCACUUUGGAUUGAUGUCGUCUGCACUUUAUAUGACCUUUGGAAUGGUAGUCUGCUUCGGAGACCAGGGAAUGGUACCCAUCUCUCUACUGAAACAAUUUAUGUGACUGUUUUUCAUUCUGUUUGGACCAUACACAACCUUUUCAGUUUAAGUGGAAAAGUAAAUCAAUUACAAUAUUUUGGUCACCUGUGUACAUCUUGAGGUUUAUAUAAGGUCACCAGUUUAUGUCUUGAGAUUUAUAUAGAUUUAGGCCAAUGUGUACAUCUUCAGAUUUGGAGUGAAUAAAACUUUGCAAUAUCCAUGUAUAUGCCUCUCAUCAAAUAAAGCUAUUUGUUUUGUAAGUUACUGAAUACUGAUGGUACAAUUUUAAUUUUUACUCCUUGGUAUGUCCAGUGGUGGCAGCUCGAUGGCUCACAGGAAAAGCAAGGGGAAGAGGAAGGGCGCAAAGAGACAGGGAAAGUGGACUAUGAGCUAUAAUGACAGUGUAUGCACCUUUUUUUCCAUGAAUUACUGACUUAAAUGGACUAAUAGUUGGGUGUCACAUUGUAUAUUACAAUAGAUAUUAUAUAUUAUUUCCUGUGAUAUAUAUUCCAAAACAUGCUCUCAAUCGACUAAUCACAGGCUUGCUCAUAUGAGUCAUUAAAGUUCUGCUAUUUUGAUCUGUUUGAAAUCUACCUCCAUGAGAAUUAUGCUAGCCAUGGGCUAUUGUAUUCCUCCCUGUAAUGCAGUUCUACAAAUAAGAAUAUGAGAAAUUGAUGACAUAUUUAUGUGCAGUGUCCUAUUGUCCUAUAGGGCAUUCAUAUGGAGCUUUGGAAUUUCUGUUAAUGGAGGCAGAGACAAAAAGGAGAAGACUGUUAUAUGAAUUUCUUCCUUGCAUUUUGUUUCUAUGUAGUAGAAUAUGGAAAUAAGAUUCACUUCAAACUUUUCAAUAAUUUAGUACACUUUCCUGCAGGUAAACAUGCAUUCUGAUAGAGCCUAAAGCUGGUGGGACACUUAUUUCCAUCGUCUACAUGAUAAUUUGAUCAUGCACAUGAGUUGUCCUCUUGCUAUGAACAACUGAUAGAGCCCAAGAUAACCACUGAUCAUCUUGACUGAUGAACUACUAAUUUCAAUAUGUAUAUGUAUGCAGGUGGCCACUGAUCGGUGCCCCUUGGCCUAUUGCAGUGGAUAAUGUUGUUGGAAGCUCUACACCAAAUCCAUUUGCAUGAACAGGUGAUGCACACCAAUUCCCCUUGGCCUACCCAGUGACAUGCACUGGAAUCUUAGCAAUUGUCUGAUCCUUAUUAAUUCAAAUGCAUCACUGCGCAUUCUAUAACUCUGUAACAUCAUGACAACUUGGGCUUUGAUGAUUGGGGAGACUGUCAGUAGGAGAAGAAUCACCAUCACCACAAAAUCCACUUUCAUUGCACUCUGGCGUGGACAAUUGUAUAGACAUAUAGCUGCAAGUGAAGGGAAAGAUCAAUUGUUGUACUUUAAAGGCUUCAGAUACAACAAAUCAUUGCCUUAUAAUCUCUUUCGGUGGUGUUCGCAUUUCAAGAAUCAUAUAAAUGUAUUUUAAAUUUUGUAUAAAAAGAUCAGAUUGUAUGAAGAUAACCACUGUGCUAUUAUUAAGGAUGUCAAUUCAAAUCUA
This is a non-coding RNA of Oryza sativa Japonica Group (Japanese rice), 2940 nucleotides long. Lineage: Eukaryota; Viridiplantae; Streptophyta; Magnoliopsida; Poales; Poaceae. The record is from RefSeq and is a predicted model, not a curated record.